GAAGUCGGCCAGGCAACCGCUGCAGGCGUCGCGUCCGGGCAGAAAUGCACGGCACGGCGGCUGGGGAGGAAAGUCCGGGCUCCACAGGGCAGGGCGCCAGGUAACGCCUGGGGGGCGUGAGCCCACGGAAAGUGCAACAGAGAGCAGACCGCCGAAGCGCCGGACGCGAGUCCGGGGCUGGCAAGGGUGAAACGGUGCGGUAAGAGCGCACCGCGGUCCGGGCAACCGGAACGGCACGGCAAACCCCGCCCGGAGCAAGGCCAAAUAGGGAAACGGGCGGUACGACGCGUCCGCGAGGACGAGGCGAACCGCAGCGCACGGCCCGUGCGCGUUUCCGGGUAGGCCGCUCGAGGUGCACGGCGACGUGCAUCCCAGAGGAAUGGUUGUCCUCGACAGAACCCGGCUUAUCGGCCGACUUCCUUC
This 423-nucleotide RNase P RNA is filed under the name Pseudomonadota bacterium. RNAcentral's name for it is "RNase P RNA component class A". It matches the Rfam family "Bacterial RNase P class A". From Rfam's summary of the family: Ribonuclease P (RNase P) is a ubiquitous endoribonuclease, found in archaea, bacteria and eukarya as well as chloroplasts and mitochondria. RNAcentral also lists the same sequence under 1 other name. The record is from RNAcentral. Lineage: Bacteria; Pseudomonadati; Pseudomonadota.